GGAUAACCUGCCCUUGGGACCGGCAUAACCCCGGGAAACUGGGGAUAAUUCCGGAUAACGCAUAUUUGCUGGAAUGCUUUAUGCGUCAAAAGGAUUCGUCUGCCCAAGGAUGGGUCUGCGGCCUAUCAGGUAGUAGUGGGUGUAAUGUACCUACUAGCCAGCGACGGGUACGGGUUGUGAGAGCAAGAGCCCGGAGAUGGAUUCUGAGACAUGAAUCCAGGCCCUACGGGGCGCAGCAGGCGCGAAAACUUUACAAUGCGGGAAACCGUGAUAAGGGGACACCGAGUGCCAGCAUCAUAUGCUGGCUGUCCGGAUGUGUAAAAUACAUCCGUUAGCAAGGGCCGGGCAAGACCGGUGCCAGCCGCCGCGGUAACACCGGCGGCCCGAGUGGUGAUCGUGAUUAUUGGGUCUAAAGGGUCCGUAGCCGGUUUGGUCAGUCCUCCGGGAAAUCUGAUAGCUCAACUAUUAGGCUUUCGGGGGAUACUGCCAGACUUGGAACCGGGAGAGGUAAGAGGUACUACAGGGGUAGGAGUGAAAUCUUGUAAUCCCUGUGGGACCACCUGUGGCGAAGGCGUCUUACCAGAACGGGUUCGACGGUGAGGGACGAAAGCUGGGGGCACGAACCGGAUUAGAUACCCGGGUAGUCCCAGCCGUAAACGAUGCUCGCUAGGUGUCAGGCAUGGCGCGACCGUGUCUGGUGCCGCAGGGAAGCCGUGAAGCGAGCCACCUGGGAAGUACGGCCGCAAGGCUGAAACU
Molecule: ribosomal RNA, 756 nt
Filed under: uncultured Methanosarcina sp.
Lineage: Archaea; Methanobacteriati; Methanobacteriota; Methanomicrobia; Methanosarcinales; Methanosarcinaceae
Description: bacterial SSU rRNA
Rfam family: Archaeal small subunit ribosomal RNA
Source: RNAcentral